UACGUAGGGUGCAAGCGUUAAUCGGAAUUACUGGGCGUAAAGCGUGCGCAGGCGGUUUUGUAAGUCUGAUGUGAAAUCCCCGGGCUCAACCUGGGAAUUGCGAUGGAGACUGCAAGGCUUGAAUCUGGCAGAGGGGGGUAGAAUUCCACGUGUAGCAGUGAAAUGCGUAGAGAUGUGGAGGAACACCGAUGGCGAAGGCAGCCCCCUGGGUCAAGAUUGACGCCCAUGCACGAAAGCGUGGGGAGCGAACAGG
Molecule: ribosomal RNA, 253 nt
Filed under: uncultured bacterium
Lineage: Bacteria
Description: partial 16S ribosomal RNA
Rfam family: Bacterial small subunit ribosomal RNA
Source: RNAcentral